Molecule: unclassified non-coding RNA, 1285 nt
Filed under: Melitaea cinxia (Glanville fritillary)
Lineage: Eukaryota; Metazoa; Arthropoda; Insecta; Lepidoptera; Nymphalidae
Description: misc RNA ENSMCXG00005021073.1
Source: RNAcentral
CCAAAAAUAACCUUCAGCGCUAUUGUAACUUUAAUAUAACUACCUAUCCUUCCCGUGAAUAGGGGAUCGAUGACUUCCAAAUGCAUACAAAAUAUUCUUUUUAAAGCUUAAGGGGGCCUAAUUGUGCUCAUAUCGAUAUCGAAAAACUGUGUGCAUGUUAAUUUGUGAUAUUUUUUGUGAAAUUUCACUUUUUAGAACAAAAAGAUCUUUUCAAAAUUUACUCGUCCUUGUAAGUUAUAUUCAGUGCUAGAUUAUUUCUAUUAAUAGAUUGAAUAAGUUAAAUAAAUCAUUACAUGAGUAGGCUUAACUUUCCGACGUUCAUUGGCGCUUGUUCAUCGAUGAAGUUCGAGUGGCCACUACAAGGCAACGGGUCACAAGUACCCGCUCUGGAAUUACUAUAUUGGUAUUAGAAUAUUCAUUAUUAUAUACAUCACAGGCGCCUGGGAAUUCGUUUAUUUGGAAUUAAUUUUUCUAUUCAUACAAAUAUUAGUUUAAAUAUUUGAAUGAAAACAUGCAAUUAUUAAAAGAAUAAUUAGUUAAUUCAGUCUUACAGUUCAAAAAUAAAAUUUAAUUAAAGCUACUUUACGAUACACAAAAGUUAAACUUCAGGUAAAUACAAAGCUUUUUGGACGGUAACAAUAAAAUAAUUAGGAAGUACGUUUAUUGUACGCUAAUGAAAUUAGAUAAAUACCAAAGCAAAAUAUUUAUGAUAUAGGUUGAUUCCGUUUCGGAAAUACAUCUGCCGAUUUUAAAGUAAUUUUAUAAUUACUAUCUUAUUCUGUCCCACUGAGGUACUUUUUGCUGGUUGUACUUCUAUCAAAGUUAAAAUUUAGUCUAUCUUGAAUCCAAUUACACGCACAUAAAAUUGGGUUAUUAUAUUUAUAAUAGCAAUUUAUAUUGCUGCGUAAGUACACAAAAUAUGAAUUAUUACUAAAAAAUAAAAAAGUAAACGACUGACAAUAUUGAACGAGUUUGUUGCUACAAUAAUGUAAAUUAAUGAUGCCUUAUAAAUAAAUACAAAUAAAAAAUACAUCCAUAAUAUACAUAUACAAUACAAUGAAAUAAAUAUGAUACAUAAUACAGUUUAUUGUACACUAAAAAAAAGUAUUGAAGUAAAAAGGGCAGCCUUAUCGCUGAAAGUGAUCCAAGCAAUCUAGGGACAGUGGAGAGGGUAUUGUGUCGGUGUAGGUGUACAAAUUGUGAUAUAAAAAUUGAAAGUGAGAUGUAAGCGUAUAAGGAUACAUACAUAAAAUUUAAUACAUAUUCACAUAUAAAUACAUACAUG